This 402-nucleotide ribosomal RNA is filed under the name bacterium. RNAcentral's name for it is "partial 16S ribosomal RNA". It matches the Rfam family "Bacterial small subunit ribosomal RNA", at positions 355 to 776 of the family's 1533-position model. The record is from RNAcentral. RNAcentral also lists the same sequence under 1 other name.
UGGGGAAUUUUGCACAAUGGGGGAAACCCUGAUGCAGCGACGCCGCGUGAUUUAGAAGGCCUUCGGGUUGUAAAAAUCUUUUCUAUGGGAAGAAAAUGACAGUACCAUAGGAAUAAGGACCGGCUAAUUACGUGCCAGCAGCCGCGGUAAUACGUAAGGUCCGAGCGUUGUCCGGAAUCAUUGGGCGUAAAGGGUACGUAGGCGGGUAAGCAAGUUAGAAGUGAAAUCCUAUAGCUCAACUAUAGUAAGCUUUUAAAACUGCUCAUCUUGAGGUAUGGAAGGGAAAGUGGAAUUCCUAGUGUAGCGGUGAAAUGCGCAGAUAUUAGGAGGAAUACCGGUGGCGAAGGCGACUUUCUGGCCAUACCCUGACGCUGAGGUACGAAAGCGUGGGUAGCAAACAGG